UAAUCCAUUGGUGUGGUUCAAGUCCAG
This 27-nucleotide non-coding RNA is filed under the name Rattus norvegicus (Norway rat). Lineage: Eukaryota; Metazoa; Chordata; Mammalia; Rodentia; Muridae. The record is from RNAcentral.